This 253-nucleotide ribosomal RNA is filed under the name uncultured Pseudomonas sp. RNAcentral describes it as "partial 16S ribosomal RNA". It matches the Rfam family "Bacterial small subunit ribosomal RNA", at positions 99 to 355 of the family's 1533-position model. The record is from RNAcentral. Lineage: Bacteria; Pseudomonadati; Pseudomonadota; Gammaproteobacteria; Pseudomonadales; Pseudomonadaceae.
CGGACGGGUGAGUAAUGCCUAGGAAUCUGCCUGGUAUGGGGGACAACGUUUCGAAAGGAACGCUAAUACCGCAUACGUCCUACGGGAGAAAGCAGGGGACCUUCGGGCCUUGCGCUAUCAGAUGAGCCUAGGUCGGAUUAGCUAGUUGGUGAGGUAAUGGCUCACCAAGGCGACGAUCCGUAACUGGUCUGAGAGGAUGAUCAGUCACACUGGAACUGAGACACGGUCCAGACUCCUACGGGAGGCAGCAGCC